RNAcentral lists this ribosomal RNA (433 nucleotides) under uncultured bacterium. RNAcentral's name for it is "partial 16S ribosomal RNA". It matches the Rfam family "Bacterial small subunit ribosomal RNA", at positions 29 to 507 of the family's 1533-position model. The record is from RNAcentral.
AACGAACGCUGGCGGCAGGCCUAACACAUGCAAGUCGAACGGGAGCUUCGGAAGUAGUUGCGCACGGGUGCGUCACGCGUCGGAACGUUCCCUUAGGUACGGAAAAACACUUUGACAGGGGUGCUAAUACCGGAUAAUUUCCUCGGAUCAAAGAUUUAUCGACCUAGGAUGCGCCGGCGUUGGAUUAGCUGGUGGGUAUGGUAAAAGCCUAUCAAGGCUACGCUCGAUAGCUGGUCUGAGAGGAUGAGCAGCCACUCUGGGACUGAGACACGGUGCAGACUACUACGGGAGGCAGCAGUGGGGGAUAUUGGAAUAUGGGCGAGAGGCUGAACCAGCUAUGGCGGGUGAGUGAUGAAGGCCUUAGGGUUGUAAAGCUCUUUUAUACGGGAUGAUAAUGACGGUACCGAAAGAAUAAGCACCGGCUAACUUCGUG